Molecule: long non-coding RNA, 203 nt
Filed under: Lathyrus oleraceus (garden pea)
Lineage: Eukaryota; Viridiplantae; Streptophyta; Magnoliopsida; Fabales; Fabaceae
Description: Pisum sativum (pea) long non-coding RNA (PSAT_LNC041977)
Source: RNAcentral
AAGAAAAUAAAUAAAUAAUGGAUUUCACGCGCUAGCCAGCCAAUCAGAAUGUGACAACCAUUUGGUUUGAAUUAAAAAUACGCACCAACGGUCGUCUUCAACCUCGAAUCAUCCCAAAAUCAAACCUUAAAAACACAUGUUUUAGUUAGAUUUUUCCAUGGAAUCAUCUUCCCCGAUAAAAAACAAACUAACCUCCACACUCA